GAGACAGUAGCUCAAUUGGUAGAGCGCCACACACCCGUGGAAGUUAUAGGUUCGAGUCCUAUCUGCUUCU
This 70-nucleotide transfer RNA is filed under the name [Clostridium] symbiosum. Its description in RNAcentral is "tRNA-OTHER". It matches the Rfam family "tRNA". From Rfam's summary of the family: Transfer RNA (tRNA) molecules are approximately 80 nucleotides in length. Lineage: Bacteria; Bacillati; Bacillota; Clostridia; Lachnospirales; Lachnospiraceae. RNAcentral also lists the same sequence under 6 other names. The record is from RNAcentral.